This is a long non-coding RNA of Malania oleifera, 738 nucleotides long. RefSeq lists it as uncharacterized. The record is from RefSeq and is a predicted model, not a curated record. NCBI's taxonomy places the organism in Eukaryota, Viridiplantae, Streptophyta, Magnoliopsida, Santalales, Ximeniaceae. The transcript has 3 exons.
AUUCUCUCUCUCUCCCUCAUUUUCUCUCUCUCUCUCUCUAAGAUUCUUCAUCAUUCGUUGUCCGUUUCCAAAAACGGAGGGUAUUGCGUGGAUCAGAAGAGGAAACUCUACACUUUUAGUGGAUCGGAUCGUCGUUUCGAAGAGUUUUGGAUUUUCCCAAGAAUCGAGGUUUUCGGGAUCUCGGGUUGUCGUUUUGGACCGUUUUCAUACGAAAUUUCAUUUCGAAUAUAAGGUCCGUCCGUGCGUUGGUCGUAGUAGAUAAAGGGACUGGGGUGGUUAUUUUGGUUAGCUUACGUAAGCAUCUAAAUUUUGUACUAAACUUGAUAAAAGUCCUUUUGAAGGGUUGUAAUAUGACGAUUACUCUAAGUCCGAAUGUAUGUAAAUUAUGGAUGUAUUAGUGAACUCUGGUAUAAGGCUAGUAGUAAUCCCAAUUGAUGUUUAUGUUUUUCCGCGACAUAUACAUCAUGAUUAUGUAUGAUUUACACCUGUAUGUCCCUGUUUAGGGCGGGUUCUUUCCAUAUCUUGAACAGGUAUAGGUAUUUGAUGUAUGUGAGUGACACCUGAGUCCGUGUAAAGGGUAGGGUCGUUACAAGAUGUCUCUCCCCAGCCCCCCUUCAACUAACACCAUAAGGUCUAGAAGAAGGAGAGGAAUUGUUUUUCAGAAAAAGUGCUCAAUUUAGUAAGUGUUCAACUGUAAAAAUGCUGAAAGUUAUAAGUGGCGUUUGAUUGUGUUUCAAA